Molecule: ribosomal RNA, 1302 nt
Filed under: Campylobacter coli
Lineage: Bacteria; Pseudomonadati; Campylobacterota; Epsilonproteobacteria; Campylobacterales; Campylobacteraceae
Also listed under: 1 other name
Description: partial 23S ribosomal RNA
Rfam family: Bacterial large subunit ribosomal RNA
Source: RNAcentral
AGUUUAGCUAAUGUUGCCCGUACCGUAAACCGACACAGGUGGGUGGGAUGAGUAUUCUAAGGCGCGUGGAAGAACUCUCUUUAAGGAACUCUGCAAAAUAGCACCGUAUCUUCGGUAUAAGGUGUGGUUAGCUUUGUAUUAGGAUUUACUCCGAAAGCAAGGAAACUUACAACAAAGAGUCCCUCCCGACUGUUUACCAAAAACACAGCACUCUGCUAACUCGUAAGAGGAUGUAUAGGGUGUGACGCCUGCCCGGUGCUCGAAGGUUAAUUGAUGGGGUUAGCAUUAGCGAAGCUCUUGAUCGAAGCCCGAGUAAACGGCGGCCGUAACUAUAACGGUCCUAAGGUAGCGAAAUUCCUUGUCGGUUAAAUACCGACCUGCAUGAAUGGCGUAACGAGAUGGGAGCUGUCUCAAAGAGGGAUCCAGUGAAAUUGUAGUGGAGGUGAAAAUUCCUCCUACCCGCGGCAAGACGGAAAGACCCCGUGGACCUUUACUACAGCUUGACACUGCUACUUGGAUAAGAAUGUGCAGGAUAGGUGGGAGGCUUUGAGUAUAUGACGCCAGUUGUAUAUGAGCCAUUGUUGAGAUACCACUCUUUCUUAUUUGGGUAGCUAACCAGCUUGAGUUAUCCUCAAGUGGGACAAUGUCUGGUGGGUAGUUUGACUGGGGCGGUCGCCUCCCAAAUAAUAACGGAGGCUUACAAAGGUUGGCUCAGAACGGUUGGAAAUCGUUCGUAGAGUAUAAAGGUAUAAGCCAGCUUAACUGCAAGACAUACAAGUCAAGCAGAGACGAAAGUCGGUCUUAGUGAUCCGGUGGUUCUGUGUGGAAGGGCCAUCGCUCAAAGGAUAAAAGGUACCCCGGGGAUAACAGGCUGAUCUCCCCCAAGAGCUCACAUCGACGGGGAGGUUUGGCACCUCGAUGUCGGCUCAUCGCAUCCUGGGGCUGGAGCAGGUCCCAAGGGUAUGGCUGUUCGCCAUUUAAAGCGGUACGCGAGCUGGGUUCAGAACGUCGUGAGACAGUUCGGUCCCUAUCUGCCGUGGGCGUAAGAAGAUUGAAGAGAUUUGACCCUAGUACGAGAGGACCGGGUUGAACAAACCACUGGUGUAGCUGUUGUUCUGCCAAGAGCAUCGCAGCGUAGCUAAGUUUGGAAAGGAUAAACGCUGAAAGCAUCUAAGCGUGAAGCCAACUCUAAGAUGAAUCUUCUCUAAGCUCUCUAGAAGACUACUAGUUUGAUAGGCUGGGUGUGUAAUGGAUGAAAGUCCUUUAGCUGACCAGUACUAAUAGAGCGUUUGGCUUAUCUUU